AUACGUAGGUGACAAGCGUUAUCCGGAUUUACUGGGCGUAAAGGGCGUGUAGGCGGUCUUGCAAGUCAGAAGUGAAAUUCCUGAGCUCAACUCGGGCGCUGCUUCUGAAACUGCAGGACUUGAGUGCUGGAGGGGAUAGCGGAAUUCCUAGUGUAGCGGUGAAAUGCGUAGAUAUUAGGAGGAACACCAGUGGCGAAGGCGGCUUUCUGGACGACAACUGACGCUGAGGCGCGAAAGUGUGGGGAGCAAACAGGAUUAGAUACCCUGGUAGUCCACACCGUAAACGGUGGAUACUAGGUGUAGGAGGUAUCGACCCCUUCUGUGCCGGAGUUAACACAAUAAGUAUCCCACCUGGGGAGUACGGCCGCAAGGCUGAAACUCAAAUGAAUUGACGGGG
This 397-nucleotide ribosomal RNA is filed under the name uncultured bacterium. RNAcentral describes it as "partial 16S ribosomal RNA". It matches the Rfam family "Bacterial small subunit ribosomal RNA", at positions 523 to 918 of the family's 1533-position model. The record is from RNAcentral.